This 75-nucleotide transfer RNA is filed under the name Candidatus Rokuibacteriota bacterium. Its description in RNAcentral is "tRNA-Thr". It matches the Rfam family "tRNA". From Rfam's summary of the family: Transfer RNA (tRNA) molecules are approximately 80 nucleotides in length. Their secondary structure includes four short double-helical elements and three loops (D, anti-codon, and T loops). Lineage: Bacteria; Candidatus Rokuibacteriota. The record is from RNAcentral.
GCCGGCGUAGCUCAGAGGUAGAGCAGCCGAUUCGUAAUCGGCAGGUCGUCGGUUCGACUCCGACCGCCGGCUCCA